This 391-nucleotide long non-coding RNA is filed under the name Nicotiana benthamiana. RNAcentral's name for it is "long non-coding RNA (NBEN_LNC002115)". Lineage: Eukaryota; Viridiplantae; Streptophyta; Magnoliopsida; Solanales; Solanaceae. The record is from RNAcentral.
GACGAAAAAAAUAGGAUUACAAUAGUAGAAUAAUACAGAAAAACUGAAAUCAUAUAUGAAGAAGUAUUAUGGGACAAAAUGUUCACCUUGUUGACACUACACAUGAUCAUGCCGCCAGUCAAAUCCGUAUAUGAUGGAGUGUUAGUCACUUUCCAAUUAAGAAUGCGUGGCACAUUUGUGCCAACGCGAACAACUAGCUUCUUAUCAACCAUUGAGCAACACUCAAAAAACCAAACCUGUAAAGCAAGCGGCAAACCUCCAAGCCUAUACAUUGUCAUAUAAUCGCAUUGCAUGUCCCUCAUUGUCCUUAAAACUUCUUCAAAUGAAUUUUUUCCCCAAGGAAACAUCUUAUAUUGGCCACUUUCGAUGAUAUCAAAAUCAUCGUUGGUGA